RNAcentral lists this long non-coding RNA (579 nucleotides) under Marmota monax (woodchuck). The record is from RNAcentral. Lineage: Eukaryota; Metazoa; Chordata; Mammalia; Rodentia; Sciuridae.
AAUAAACAUACCUUGAACAAUAAUUUCAUGAGUUUGGCUUGAUAGAAAUAAGUUUAACAUAACAGUAGUAUAUUCAACUCAGAAAUUUCAUGUUUGUUGAAUGACUGUAUGGAUAGAUAGUUGGAAGAAUAGAUGAGUAAACUGAUAGAUAAGGAUGCUUGGCAAUGCUCUAAGUGCUUAAAAAUUGCAUUGGUAUGGGCUGGGGACAUAGUUCAGCAGCAGAGCAUUUGUCUACCGUGUGCCAGGCCCUGGGUUCCAUCCCAGCACCACCAUACAACACACACUCAAAAAAUUAAAUAAAUUUCAUCUUUUAAAAAAUUAGUGUAGAAAAUUGUGUGUUCUUUAAUUUUAAAUUAAUAAAAAUUCUAUAUAUUAAUGAUGCACAACAUAAUGUUUUGGUAUGUUUGUAUACACUGUGGAAUGGCUAAAUCAAGCAAUUUAGCAUAUGCAUUACCUCACAUAGUUACACACCCCCUCCUCUCCACCCUGUGGUAAGAACACUUAAAAUACUGUCUUAGCAAUUUUCAAUUGCAACAUAUUAACUGUAGUCAUCAUGGUGUAUACAAAUUUUGAUUUCUA